GUCUCGAUAGCCCAGUGGUAGAGCAUGCGAUUGCAGAUCGCAGGGUCCGGUGUUCGAACCACCGCCGGGACU
Molecule: non-coding RNA, 72 nt
Organism: Hypsizygus marmoreus
Lineage: Eukaryota; Fungi; Basidiomycota; Agaricomycetes; Agaricales; Lyophyllaceae
Source: Rfam